UUAUGACCGUACUUGACUAUACCGGUCACAGCUUGGCUUGGCCCACGUAAAAUGAAAUCCAAUGACAUUCAAGCAAACGCGGAAGAAUACAUGGGGUUCUGCAUACAAUCCAUGUAUCAUUCUUAUGACGAACAGAGUAUAGAUUUUAACGUUUUAUUAAUAUUCACCUACGUAUCUAUUAAACAUGAUUUUUAAAUUUGUUUGAAAAAGAGAGUUUUAAUUUCAGCCAGUUCAUGGAACAUCUCUGGCUUAACCAUGUACCGGUAGCCGCACGGAACUGUUGCCCUAAAAAAAACUUGAGUUUGUGUAAAACGUAUUUACUGGUUUUCAAGUUGUUGUUGUUGUUGUUGUUUGGAAAUAGUGGGGCUAUGGUGGCAGCUGUGUACUGAUGAACAGAACCAGAUGAGGUACUGUUAAGGGCAAGAAUGAGUAUUACUCUGGCCCUUCUGCGCAAGUACUGGCCCUUCCAUUCUUGAAAAUGGAGGUCACAAUGACUGUAUUAUUGGGUCAUAUGGGAAAAGUUAUGUCUGCAUUGCAGUAUUUCUCAGCUGCUAGACAAUCAUGGCAGCUGUGUAGCAGUAAAACAAUGUCAUGUGACCAGACUGAGAAACCGUGUGACAUUGUUUACAUUCUUCCACUUGUGACAAAUUCAAACACUCAGAGAGUAGGUAUUACAUGAUUUACCUGAGGAUUGGUGGUCCAAUGAAACAUCAAAUUUGUGAUUUCUUUACUGUCAUGUGGAAAGAAUGGGAGCCCAGCAGUAGACAGGACAGAUGCAUAUACAGAAGAUGAUUGUCAACAUUCUGACUUCAGUAUGUUACACAUCAAGAAUGGAAUAGGUGCAGCACAAUUGUUUUGACUAACUGCUAGCCAAAGAUGAAAUCACGUUCUGCUCCAUUAAACCAGAGUACUGCUCAUCAAAUUUUGAUUACUUGUUCCCAUAAGGUUGUGUGUAAUGGCGGAAAAUUGUACUGGCCACAAAGUUUUCGUAACAGUACAUCCUUAUGUCGGGCUAAUGUGCAGAUGAGGGAUUUUAAAUCUGGAGCUGUUUUACAUGCAGUAAUAUGACCUCACAGGUUGAGAAGUAGCAAUGGUGUUAACCACGUGUCAUGGUACGGCACAGGUUUUUAUCCGGAUGUGGAACUGGUGCUGCUUGCAGUCAUCAGGAGUUACCAGAAGGCAAACGUGAUACCUGGCCUACAGGAAGCUCUCUCUCCUAAGUUAUUAGUGAGAAAUUUACACUCUUGGUAUUCUUGUUGUGGUCAUUAACAACUUCAAGUGCAUAAAAAAUUUGUCAAUUUUGAAAAAUUUGCAGAAUUUUUAUAUGACCUACUUAGGUUUCAUGUGAGGAAAUGCUGAUACUGAGUCAGCUGAAUCAGUAAAUAAAGGUAACACUGACAUAAGUGUCUACUUUCAUGUUGCAUUGCAGCACAGAAUCAUCUUUGUUUACAAAAGAUACAGAAGAAAUGUUGAGAUUUCUAGUAUAAAUUAGUUUUCAUUUUCACAAAUGGCAUUUAACAAAAUGUUUGUGUUGAGUUUGUUACUGGCACUAUUGUGCAUGUGCUGUUGUAAAAACUUCUUUAUUGGGGUAUUUUAGAGUAUAAGUGUUUUCAAGUGGACAAGCCUGAACAAUUUUUGGUAUGAAUGUUGAAAACUUCUCGAAUGUUAUUCAACAAAUGGUAUAGCACGUUGUUUUGGUUGGGAAAAAGAAAGAUUGCAAAUGCAGUGCCCUUCUGUGAGGUUACCAAGGAGGAAAGAAAAUAAAUUGCAAUGACACUGUCUAAGGACGAAGUUGAACAACAUAAGCCUUUAUUUAAUGCAGCUAUUCACAAUAUCCAUGCAUCGUGCACAAUGUUAGUCAAACUUGGUUAAACCAGUAGCUGAGUAGUACACUUCACCCUUCUCUAGUAAAUGUUCUCUGGACAAUGAUGGAUCUAAGGACCACCUUCUGAUGAACACGGACAUCCUUCCCUCUCAACCUCAUUUGAAGUGUGCCUAGGUGCCUCACCAGUUUUAGCAUCCUUCUGCAAACCAAUUCCUGUAGUGACGUGUCGCCCCUCAGUGAGUGCGUACGUAGAAGUGGUAGAUAUUGAGAUUACUGAUCACAGAAAAGAAAGCAACUACAAUUGCUUACUAGUGUAAAGACGUCAAAACCACAUCAGAUACCUGUAAAAUUUUACUAAGGUUAUGCAAGUAACGUGCUCCCAUCCUAGCAGCAGUUGAUCACAGUUCGCUGGAGCAACAAAAGGUACCUCGCGACUGGAGAAAAGUGUAAGUCAAUCCCAUUUUCCAGAAAGGCCGUAGAACAGAUGGACAUAAUUAUAUGCGUGUGCGGUUGACGUCAGUCUGUUGUAAAAUAAUGGAAGAUGUUUUAUUCUGAAGAAUUGUCAUUUUGGAGGAUGAAAAUAAUAUGUAUAGAAAAUCAACACGGAUUUCACAAACUAGAUCCUGCAAAACUCAACGGUCUGCUUCUCCGUGAGAUCCGUAGCACUGUAAAGGCAUUCAGGUUGAUGCGGUGUUCCUCGACUUCGGGAAGGCCUUUGACAUCGUCCUGUACUGCUGUUUAGUGAAAGAUCAGAGUAUCGGACCAGAUUUGCAACUGGAUUGAUGACUUGCUUGCAGGUAAAACUCGACAAAUUGCCGUUAACAGAUUAAAAUCGGCAGAUGUAGAAGCAUUUUCCGGGGUAUCCCAAGGAAGUGUGAUAGGACCAUUACUGUUGUGGUGUAACAGGUUGUUCCACCUCCUCCUCACACUCACACUCACACUCAGAUGAAAGACGCCAGUGUAAAAACAUUGUUUAGUAAGGAAUUUUUCACUGUGCACUAAGUGGCCCGAUCGACGUACAGAGUGAGCACGGAACAUCACCGAGGCCGCCGCCGAUUGAGCGUCUUCACCCGUGGUGAAGUGGUUUCUUAUACUUUGGCGUCGAGGUGUGGUGGUUUUUUGGAAGGUAGAGUAUGGGAAGUGACGUCUCGGAUAACAGUGCUCGGAAACAGUUUAAAGAAGCUGAAGAAAAAUGUCAUUACAUUCAGAUCUGUUCUCUCGUGUUCUGUUUUAAGAAUUCGAAUGGAGACAUUGCUUUGAUGUACUGACCAAUAAGUUACCUGUUUGCCCAGUGUCUUAAUCGUUACGAGAGCAGCAAAUUACAGAAGAGUUCUUUCAAAGGCAGUUCAGUCUUUCCGGAGCAAGUCGGUGUAAAUGUGAGCUCUCUCAGAGCCCUCCACCCUCCGUAACUGUCUUAGUCUUUUCACGGUGCGAGGAGCGGCACUGCAUAGAAAGUCCAAGGCUUCAAGAAACUAAGAAGGCAAUCACUUGUCUUAUAGCUUCUCAAGUCUUCUAAUGAUCAGUGUCUGUUUGCGGCAUUUUUGAUUUGGGGGAAACCCAAAGGGGACGGUCACAAACACUGAGGUCGCAGGAACGAGUGGCCCGAGCAGUAUCGCCAUUGUCAGAGACAUUGUGGCCACAAAACUUCCUCCUCCAGGAACCCAUUAUGUCAUUUGCUUUGUGUGGGUAGUUUCUCCAUCCUGUCGAAACAAAAUUUUUUUGUUGGACCGAGAUGUUUCCUUUCCACUUCAGGAUUUAAGAAUGUCCUCAGUUUACUAUAAAUGUUCUGUCCUUUCUCAGAAAAGUACAAUCCACACCACACUGUGACUUAGGAGUUAUGCAGGGUUGUUUGUGUAACUGUUGUCGGUUUGUGUCCGACCAAUGGCAAAAAUUUUAUUUGUUUACAUAUCUCUCAAGAUGGAAAUGAGCCUCAUUACUGAGUACAAGAAUUUUUAUAAUCGUAUUGUCAGCUCGAUCGUUUGUACCAAAAGUAUUUGACUAUUAGCAUAGUCUGAGGCCUGCGGAGAAAGCAAUUUUAUAUUGGUGACAGUAUAACUCCUGAGCAAUAGAAUAUUUGAAGAGCAGCAGCUUUUCUGUGCACAGGUCGAUGUGGGCCGACCGGGGAUUGUCCUUUCGCUGGAUGUUGUCCGGUGUUUUGACUUAUCUUGGACGUUCUGUAGCCUUUUGUUGUAAUGAUAAACCAGUUGAUCUGAAGUUUUUGACCCACAACUUAACCAUGUUAAGGGAUGGAAUUUAUCCCCUGCUAUUCACUUGAAAAUGCCUGCAAAACUGAAUUGUCUGACAAUACCAGAAUCACCACUUUUAAAAUUCAUUCAACAACAAAUGAGCAAUGCUCGCUGGACUACUUCUCUGUGGCAACCCAAUCGUGUGGUGUCCGAAGCUUGGGUUUUACUUGAGAUUGAGCAACAGGGUUGGUAACCACAGCUUAGCUGGUUAGCCUCGGUGAGAGGCAGACUUAGACCUAGCUAAGAAGUUACAGUAUCUGGUGUGAAAGUAGCAAAAGGUGGGAAGAUAAUUUCAGCAACUCUCCAGAACCAUUUCACAAUCUGAAGUUUAUUUGAAAAGGUAAAGAAUGAACUAACUGUUCUGGCUGAGAAGUUUCCAAUGAGCGGCAGAGUCCGAUACAGAGACGGCGUGAGACAACUGCCAUUCUGUCUACUCUUCGAAUGCAAUCCACACGACUAAGUCAGUCCCACAGCUGCUGCCUAUCAAGCUCCUCCAGACUGCCUACCGCUUCCUCACUCCUAUACUGCUUCUAACCGCUUCUGAACUCUUCUCUGAGUGUCUUGCUGUUGAGUUUUGUACCAUUUUCCCCUUUCCGUCCCACCGGCUAUUGCUAUGACGCAAUGUUGAGGGCUAUUUGCCUCCUUAUUGGCUGUCAUUGUGCACUAUUCAGAGGCCGGGUGGAGAAGUAGAGACGCCUCUCUUAAAACGGUCACACACUGCGUCCUAAGCCCUGUAUCGGCUUCUCGUGACGUGCUGUCCCCACCAGAAGGCCGUCUCUCUCGCUCCCUCUCGUCCCACACUCUCUCUGACCAGAUGUUUUCAUAUUAACUUUAAUUCCAUUCCUUAUCGAGGACCCCGUUGUGAAGCUGCUUCCGGGUCUGUGGCUCCUCUCGCGGCACCUAAAUACAUUACAAUUGGUCUCAAGUAACCUUGAGAACACCGCACUCCCCACCAUCUCCUACACGCGACUGCCAUAAUGUGCACAUAUGAAAACCGUCGGGUAUUUCUGCCGCUCCCUACACAAAUAACUCAUUAAAUAACUGGUCAGUUAUCUACCAGCAGCACAACAUUCUUAAUUACUUUGUGCUGACAUAACAUUUACACCCAACAGCGUGUACUAAAUAAUAAAUUACGUUCGAGCAAGAAACUCUCGAAAACCUGAACCGUCCCUGGAUGUUUGUUAGCGUGACCUUUAUCGUUCCCAGCAGACCUGAAUUUUGUAGUCACCACUGCUACUCAAGCUAAAUCAGUGAAAGUCCAUCGCACUGUAAAUUGGUUAAAACCACUACUCUUCACAGGUUUGCAACUGCAAAGACAUGACAGACAUUAAAGUCGCUCAUGUGCGAUGUCGUCACAAACUAAACUGUCUCUAAAGGUUGAAAUUGGCACGUUGAGAUAUACGAGCUACCAUGUUCACCCGAGAUUAUUUGAAGCCCUGCAACACAAAAGAAAUGUUUGCAGCACGUACACUGCCCUUUCCACGAACCACCUGACUUGACGGACUCCAGAUGAAACAGAGGCAGAAAUACCUCACCAAAACCCCAGAUGCAAGACGACAGACUAAAGUUCUGCCUGCGCUACUCACGUGAAGAUUCGUUCACACGACCACUCAUCGAUUCAGUGCAGAUGCUUUCAUCUUGACAAACAUUCAUUAUUUUCACAAUAAUUUCAUAUAAAUGCCUAUGAUAAAACAUAGAAAAUCUUUGCAGUCAGUAUGUGGCUUCUUAAUAAAAUCAUUCAAGCAUUAUUUCAAAACACACUAACUUCACCUAGUUAAUAAAUCAUGACUAUAAUUACACAUCGAAAGUUAUUGGAAUAUUAAAGAAGGAAACUCGUGGUGAUAACAUCAUUUGUUUAUCUGUGGAGGAUUCCAUAGUUACGGCACUAUUUACAUAAACUAAAUUGUUUGUAACAUUUUGGUAUACUUGUUAAAUUGGAAAAGUAGUCUGUUCAUACAAUUUCUGGUAUCAUCUGCUUUCAUUUGAUGAUGUACAAACAGUACAGA
Schistocerca gregaria is the source of this 6077-nucleotide long non-coding RNA. RefSeq lists it as uncharacterized. The record is from RefSeq and is a predicted model, not a curated record. The transcript has 4 exons. Lineage: Eukaryota; Metazoa; Arthropoda; Insecta; Orthoptera; Acrididae.